This 36-nucleotide small RNA is filed under the name Arabidopsis thaliana (thale cress). Its description in RNAcentral is "ATSL134510". The record is from RNAcentral. Lineage: Eukaryota; Viridiplantae; Streptophyta; Magnoliopsida; Brassicales; Brassicaceae.
UUUUGAUGUUUUUUUUUUUGGUUUUAUUCCACUUUU